AACGAACGCUGGCGGCGUGCCUAACACAUGCAAGUCGUGCGAGAAAGUUCCUUCGGGAGCGAGUAAAGCGGCGCACGGGUGAGUAACACGUAGGUAACCUGCCCCCCAGUCUGGAACAACUAGAGGAAACUCUAGCUAAUGCCGGAUGAGACCACGAUCCCUUCGGGGGUUGCGGCCAAAGAUGGCCUCUACUUGUAAGCUAUCGCUGAGGGAUGGGCCUGCGGGCCAUUAGCUUGUUGGUGAGGUAACGGCUCACCAAGGCUGUGAUGGCUAGCUGGUCUGAGAGGAUGACCAGCCACACUGGGACUGAGACACGGCCCAGACUCCUACGGGAGGCAGCAGUGGGGAAUAUUGCGCAAUGGGCGAAAGCCUGAUCCAGCAAUGCCGCGUGAGUGAUGAAGGCCUUAGGGUUGUAAAGCUCUUUUACCCGGGAUGAUAAUGACAGUACCGGGAGAAUAAGCCCCGGCUAACUCCGUGCCAGCAGCCGCGGUAAU
Molecule: ribosomal RNA, 494 nt
Filed under: uncultured bacterium
Lineage: Bacteria
Description: bacterial SSU rRNA
Rfam family: Bacterial small subunit ribosomal RNA
Source: RNAcentral